CCUACGGGUGGCUGCAGUGGGGGAUAUUGCACAAUGGGCGAAAGCCUGAUGCAGCGACGCCGCGUGAGGGAAGACGGUCUUCGGAUUGUAAACCUCUGUCUUUGGGGAAGAAUAGAGACGGUACCCAAAGAGGAAGCUCCGGCUAACUACGUGCCAGCAGCCGCGGUAAUACGUAGGGAGCGAGCGUUGUCCGGAAUUACUGGGUGUAAAGGGAGCGUAGGCGGGCUUGUAAGUUGAAUGUCUAAUCCACCGGCUCAACCGGUGAUCGCGUUCAAAACUGCAGGUCUUGAGUGAAGUAGAGGCAGGCGGAAUUCCUAGUGUAGCGGUGAAAUGCGUAGAUAUUAGGAGGAACACCGGUGGCGAAGGCGGCUCACUGGACUGUAACUGACGUUGAGGCUCGAAAGCGUGGGGAGCAAACAGGAUUAGAUACCCGAGUAGUC
RNAcentral lists this ribosomal RNA (440 nucleotides) under uncultured Anaerotruncus sp. Its description in RNAcentral is "bacterial SSU rRNA". It matches the Rfam family "Bacterial small subunit ribosomal RNA", at positions 338 to 795 of the family's 1533-position model. The record is from RNAcentral. Lineage: Bacteria; Bacillati; Bacillota; Clostridia; Eubacteriales; Oscillospiraceae.